GAGUUUGAUUAUGGCUCAGGACAAACGCUGGCGGCGUGCAUAACACAUGCAAGUCGAACGAAAUCUACAUGAUUUAGUGGCGAACGGGUGAGUAACACGUGAGAAACCUGCCUUACACAGAGGGAUAGCCGUUGGAAACGACGAUUAAUACCUCAUGACACCGUGACAUCGCAUGAUGAUGCGGUCAAAGAUUUAUCGGUGUAAGAUGGUCUCGCGCCUGAUUAGCUAGUUGGUGGGGUAACGGCCUACCAAGGCGACGAUCAGUAGCCGAUCUGAGAGGGUGGACGGCCACAUUGGGACUGAGACACGGCCCAAACUCCUACGGGAGGCAGCAGUGGGGAAUUUUGCACAAUGGGGGAAACCCUGAUGCAGCGACGCCGCGUGAACGAAGAAGGCCUUCGGGUUGUAAAGUUCUGUCCUUGGUGAAGAUAAUGACA
This 437-nucleotide ribosomal RNA is filed under the name Helcococcus sp. canine oral taxon 069. RNAcentral's name for it is "bacterial SSU rRNA". It matches the Rfam family "Bacterial small subunit ribosomal RNA", at positions 9 to 456 of the family's 1533-position model. Lineage: Bacteria; Bacillati; Bacillota; Tissierellia; Tissierellales; Peptoniphilaceae. The record is from RNAcentral.